GCACCCGUGGCGAAACGGAUAUCGCGUACCCCUCCUAAGGGUAAAUUGCAGGUUCGAUUCCUGCCGGGUGCACCA
RNAcentral lists this transfer RNA (75 nucleotides) under Andreesenia angusta. Its description in RNAcentral is "tRNA-Arg". It matches the Rfam family "tRNA". Rfam says of the family: Transfer RNA (tRNA) molecules are approximately 80 nucleotides in length. Their secondary structure includes four short double-helical elements and three loops (D, anti-codon, and T loops). The record is from RNAcentral. Lineage: Bacteria; Bacillati; Bacillota; Tissierellia; Tissierellales; Gottschalkiaceae.